GACAGAGGGUGCGAACGUUGCUCGGAAUUACUGGGCGUAAAGCGCGUGUAGGCGGCGCCGCACGUCGGGUGUGAAAGCCCGGGGCUCAACCCCGGAAGCGCGCACGAAACGACGGCGCUGGAGGCCUGGAGAGGAGGGCGGAAUUCCCGGUGUAGAGGUGAAAUUCGUAGAUAUCGGGAGGAACACCGGUGGCGAAGGCGGCUCUCUGGACAGGACCUGACGCUGAGACGCGAAAGCGUGGGUAGCAAACAGG
This 253-nucleotide ribosomal RNA is filed under the name uncultured bacterium. RNAcentral's name for it is "partial 16S ribosomal RNA". It matches the Rfam family "Bacterial small subunit ribosomal RNA", at positions 524 to 776 of the family's 1533-position model. The record is from RNAcentral.